This 413-nucleotide ribosomal RNA is filed under the name bacterium enrichment culture clone ALO1_GLFRUDD03GG9MV. Its description in RNAcentral is "bacterial SSU rRNA". It matches the Rfam family "Bacterial small subunit ribosomal RNA", at positions 9 to 424 of the family's 1533-position model. The record is from RNAcentral.
GAGUUUGAUCGUGGCUCAGAUUGAACGCUGGCGGCAUGCCUUACACAUGCAAGUCGAACGGCAGCACGGGAGCUUGCUCCUGGUGGCGAGUGGCGAACGGGUGAGUAAUGCAUCGGAACGUAUCCUGGAGUGGGGGAUAACGUAGCGAAAGUUACGCUAAUACCGCAUAUUCUGUGAGCAGGAAAGCGGGGGACCUUCGGGCCUCGCGCUCUUGGAGCGGCCGAUGUCGGAUUAGCUAGUUGGUGAGGUAAAGGCUCACCAAGGCGACGAUCCGUAGCAGGUCUGAGAGGAUGAUCUGCCACACUGGAACUGAGACACGGUCUAGACUCCUACGGGAGGCAGCAGUGGGGAAUUUUGGACAAUGGGGGCAACCCUGAUCCAGCCAUGCCGCGUGAGUGAAGAAGGCCUCGGUU